CCUACGGGAGGCAGCAGGGAGGAAUAUUGGACAAUGGGCGCGAGCCGGAACCAGCCAAGUAGCGUGAAGGAUGACGGCCCUAGGGGUGGUAAACUUCUUUUAUAGGGGAAUAAAGUGCAGUAUGUAUACUGCUUUGCAUGUACCUUAUGAAUAAGGAUCGGCUAACUCCGUGCAAGCAGCCGCGGUAAUACGGAGGAUCCGAGCGUUAUCCGGAUUUAGUGGGUUUAAAGGGAGCGUAGGCGGGUUUUUAAGUCAGUUGUGAAAGUUUGCGGCUCAACCGUAAAAUUGCAGUUGAAACUGGCAUCCUUGAGUACAGUAGAGGUAGGCGGAAUUCGUGGUGUAGCGGUGACAUGCUUAGAUAUCACGCAGAACUCCGAUUGCGAAGGCAGCCUGCUGGACUGUAACUGACGCUGAUGCUCGAAAGUGUGGGUAUCAAACAGGAUUAGAUACCCUUGUAGUC
RNAcentral lists this ribosomal RNA (460 nucleotides) under uncultured bacterium. RNAcentral describes it as "partial 16S ribosomal RNA". It matches the Rfam family "Bacterial small subunit ribosomal RNA", at positions 338 to 795 of the family's 1533-position model. The record is from RNAcentral.